AAAAAAAAAAAAACACUGACAUAAAAAGGAUCAGAGUAUGUUCUGGUGGUAUUUUGAUGAGCAUCUUAACCCAAGAAGGUUCUGUUCUAAGCAUCUCGUGCAAAACUAACCAUUCAUCCGUGAGAUACAAAAGCUCAUUUCUGGUUUCAUUGAGGACUUAAUGAUCCAAUGGAAAAUUACAAAAGCUAAGUUACAAAGACUACACUUUGUGAAAAAAGAUGCACUUGUCCUACAAUUAGUA
This 241-nucleotide unclassified non-coding RNA is filed under the name Hevea brasiliensis (rubber tree). The record is from RNAcentral. Lineage: Eukaryota; Viridiplantae; Streptophyta; Magnoliopsida; Malpighiales; Euphorbiaceae.